GACGAACGCUGGCGGCGUGCUUAACACAUGCGAGUCGAACGGAAAGGCCCUGCUUGCAGGGUACUCGAGUGGCGAACGGGUGAGUAACACGUGGGUGAUCUGCCCUGCACUUCGGGAUAAGCCUGGGAAACUGGGUCUAAUACCGGAUAGGAGCCAUUUUUAGUGUGAUGGUUGGAAAGUUUUUUCGGUGUAGGAUGAGCUCGCGGCCUAUCAGCUUGUUGGUGGGGUAAUGGCCUACCAAGGCGGCGACGGGUAGCCGGCCUGAGAGGGUGGACGGCCACAUUGGGACUGAGAUACGGCCCAGACUCCUACGGGAGGCAGCAGUGGGGAAUAUUGCACAAUGGGCGCAAGCCUGAUGCAGCGACGCCGCGUGGGGGAUGACGGCCUUCGGGUUGUAAACUCCUUUCGCUAGGGACGAAGCUUUUUGUGACGGUACCUAGAGAAGAAGCACCGGCUAACUACGUG
This 465-nucleotide ribosomal RNA is filed under the name uncultured bacterium. RNAcentral's name for it is "partial 16S ribosomal RNA". It matches the Rfam family "Bacterial small subunit ribosomal RNA", at positions 28 to 507 of the family's 1533-position model. The record is from RNAcentral.